GACGGACGCUGGCGGCGUGCUUAACACAUGCAAGUCGAACGGAAAGGCCCUGCUUUUGUGGGGUGCUCGAGUGGCGAACGGGUGAGUAACACGUGAGUAACCUGCCAUUGCCUUUGGGCUAACUUCAGGUAACUGGGGUUAAUACCAGAUAGGAUCUCCUGCUGCAUGGUGGGGGUUGGAUAGUUUCGGCGGUUGGGGAUGGACUCGCGGCUUAUCAGCUUGUUGGUGGGGUAGUGGCUUACCAAGGCUUUGACGGGUAGCCGGCCUGAGAGGGUGACCGGCCACAUUGGGACUGAGAUACGGCCCAGACUCCUACGGGAGGCAGCAGUGGGGAAUAUUGCACAAUGGGCGGAAGCCGGAGGCAGCAACGCGGCGGGCGGGAUGACGGCCUUCGGGUGGUAAACCGCUUUCGCCUGUGACGAAGCGGGAGUGACGGUAAUGGGUAAAGAAGCACCGGCUAACUACGUG
RNAcentral lists this ribosomal RNA (468 nucleotides) under uncultured bacterium. RNAcentral's name for it is "partial 16S ribosomal RNA". It matches the Rfam family "Bacterial small subunit ribosomal RNA", at positions 28 to 507 of the family's 1533-position model. The record is from RNAcentral.